Molecule: ribosomal RNA, 491 nt
Filed under: uncultured bacterium
Lineage: Bacteria
Description: partial 16S ribosomal RNA
Rfam family: Bacterial small subunit ribosomal RNA
Source: RNAcentral
AGUGAACGCUGGCGGUAGGCCUAACACAUGCAAGUCGAACGGCAGCACAGUAAGAGCUUGCUCUUACGGGUGGCGAGUGGCGGACGGGUGAGGAAUACAUCGGAAUCUACUUUUUCUUGGGGGUUAACGUAGGGACACUUACGCUAAUACCGCAUACGUCCUACGGGUUAAAGCAGGGGUUCUUCGGACCUUUCGCGUUUGUUUUAGCCGUUGUCGGAUUAGCUUGUUGGCGGGGUAAAGGCCCACCAAGGCGGCGAUCCGUAGCUGGUCUGAGAGGAUGUUCAGCAAAACUGGAACUGAGACACGGUCCAGAGUCCUAGGGGAGGAAGCAGUGGGGAAUAUUGGAAAAUGGGCGAAAGACUGAUCAAGACAUACAGCGUGGGUGAAGAAGGCCUUCGGGUUGUAAAGCCCUUUUGUUGGGAAAGAAAAGAAGCAGGUUAAAACCCCGCUGUUCUGACGGAACCAAAAGAAUAAGCACCGGCUAACUUCGU